This 492-nucleotide ribosomal RNA is filed under the name uncultured bacterium. RNAcentral's name for it is "partial 16S ribosomal RNA". It matches the Rfam family "Bacterial small subunit ribosomal RNA", at positions 29 to 507 of the family's 1533-position model. The record is from RNAcentral.
AGUGAACGCUGGCGGUAGGCCUAACACAUGCAAGUCGAACGGCAGCACAGUAAGAGCUUGCUCUUACGGGUGGCGAGUGGCGGACGGGUGAGGAAUACAUCGGAAUCUACUUUUUCGUGGGGGAUAACGUAGGGAAACUUACGCUAAUACCGCAUACGACCUACGGGUGAAAGCAGGGGAUCUUCGGACCUUGCGCGAUUGAAUGAGCCGAUGUCGGAUUAGCUAGUUGGCGGGGUAAAGGCCCACCAAGGCGACGAUCCGUAGCUGGUCUGAGGGGAUGAUCAGCCACACUGGAACUGAGACACGGUCCAGACUCCUACGGGAGGCAGCAGUGGGGAAUAUUGGACAAUGGGCGCAAGCCUGAUCCAGCCAUACCGCGUGGGUGAAGAAGGCCUUCGGGUUGUAAAGCCCUUUUGUUGGGAAAGAAAAGCAGCAGGUUAAUACCCCGCUGUUCUGACGUUACCCAAAGAAUAAGCACCGGCUAACUUCGUG